CUACGGAGGGUGCAAGCGUUACUCGGAAUCACUGGGCGUAAAGCGCGCGCAGGCGGCUAUUUAAGUUGGAUGUGAAAGCCUACGGCUCAACCGUAGAACUGCAUCCAAAACUAUUUAGCUAGAGUGUGGGAGAGGAAGAUGGAAUUAGUUGUGUAGGGGUAAAAUCCGUAGAGAUAACUAGGAAUACCAAAAGCGAAGGCAAUCGUCUGGAACACUACUGACGCUGAGGCGCGAAAGCGUGGGGAGCAAACAGGAUUAGAAACCCUAGUAGUCC
This 274-nucleotide ribosomal RNA is filed under the name uncultured bacterium. RNAcentral's name for it is "partial 16S ribosomal RNA". It matches the Rfam family "Bacterial small subunit ribosomal RNA", at positions 523 to 796 of the family's 1533-position model. The record is from RNAcentral.